RNAcentral lists this small RNA (201 nucleotides) under Salmonella enterica subsp. arizonae serovar 62:z4,z23:-. RNAcentral's name for it is "Salmonella enterica subsp. arizonae serovar 62:z4,z23:-- isrO Hfq binding RNA". It matches the Rfam family "isrO Hfq binding RNA". RNAcentral also lists the same sequence under 1 other name. Lineage: Bacteria; Pseudomonadati; Pseudomonadota; Gammaproteobacteria; Enterobacterales; Enterobacteriaceae. The record is from Rfam by way of RNAcentral.
AUGCCCAAUCCAUUGACGCCGGAAAGGGCCAGCGUGGAUGAUGAUGCCGUUGAUAUCCGAUAUUCCAGCAUAAUAUCGACUAACUGCACAAUGAUACUCGUCUGCGUUCUGUCAGGACUUGUUUUGGUAAUGCCUUUCUGUCUCAUAUGGGCUACGCUGAUCGUCUGACUAUAUGGCCCAGCCAGAUUGCCGGGUCAUUUU